AGCCUUUUGUAUUUAUAAAAGGUGAUGUCUGCCCAGUGACGGGAGUUUAACGGCCGCGUUUUAGUGCUAAGGUAGCGUAAUAAUUUGUCUUUUCAUUGGAGGCUAGUAUGAAUGGCGCAACGAGGCUCAACUGUCUCUACCCAUUAAAAAAAAAUUGAUUUGAAUUUGAAAAAUAAUUCAUUCUUAUGAUGGACGAGAAGACCCUAUAGAGUUUUAGUGGAUAUCACUUUUAUUGGGGCAAUAUAAGAAUCAAGAAAUUCUUAGAUCUUAACGUUAGUAAAGAUCCUCUAAGAGAAAUAAAGAGAAACUACCUUAGGGAUAACAGCGUUAUCCUGCCAGAGAGUGCUAAUUGAAGGCAGGGUUUGCGACCUCGAUGUUGGAUUAAGAUAACUUUAAGGUGCAGAAGCUUUAGAAGUAGGCCUGUUCGGCUUUUAAUUUCUUACAUG
Molecule: ribosomal RNA, 446 nt
Filed under: Reginella hippocrepis
Lineage: Eukaryota; Metazoa; Bryozoa; Gymnolaemata; Cheilostomatida; Cribrilinidae
Description: partial 16S ribosomal RNA
Rfam family: Bacterial large subunit ribosomal RNA
Source: RNAcentral